This 1460-nucleotide unclassified non-coding RNA is filed under the name Pomacea canaliculata. RNAcentral's name for it is "c-type mannose receptor 2-like, transcript variant X1". Lineage: Eukaryota; Metazoa; Mollusca; Gastropoda; Architaenioglossa; Ampullariidae. The record is from RNAcentral.
CAAAGUAGGAGCGGAAUGAGGACAAUUCUUUGAUUUCAAUGACCAGGAUGUUAUUAUUGAAACAGGAUCCAAAGGUCACUUGAUCUUAACUUUUCAGUGAUACGGGAUAUCUUAAACACUCAAUCACUUCAUAUUCAAUUCUACUUUGUGAAGUGGCGUGUCUUCCGGAGAUGUUUCUCCCAGUGUCCAUUGUAGCGUCUUUAGUAAUCCUGAUUCUUUCUUCUGAUAGCCCAGCUACGGUAACAGAAAAGAGCGAUUUUGGCUGGAUAGCUCUCAAUUCUAGUGGCUACCAUCUGCACCUUGAACCAAUGAACUGGUCAGAUGCUCAGACACACUGUCACGAAAAAGGAGCCAGUCUUCUGUCUUUGACGUCUAAGGCAGAAAUGUCAAAAGUACUGACGGACCUUGAACUUUACACCAAUCAAAAAACUUGGUGGCUAGGAGUGCGAAGAAAUUCAUCGGUCAGCAGCUCAUGGGUGUCCCCAAAUGAAACCUCACCUUUCUCUGGCCUAAUGACACUGUGGAACAAAGAUCAACCAAAAAACUGGAAAGAUGAUGAGGGCUGUGCGAUGAUGCUCCCUAGCGGCCUUCUGAAUGAAUUAUCGUGUGUGAAGCGUCUCGCCUACAUUUGUAAAAGACAUCUUAGGACAGCACAAAUUACAAGCAGAAUGGAAUGUGGUCAUGGGUGGAUCUUUAUUUCUCCUUCUUGCUACAAGUUUUCCACUAUUGCGUCUUCGUGGUCCAAAGCACAAAAUGGAUGUCGAGAAAACGAAGGCAAUCUGCUGACUGUAAACUCUUUAGAAGAACUGCUGCAGAUAAAGAAGGCGAUGUAUCGUGCAAACAAGGAAGCUAACUGGUGGAUAGGUUUAUGGAAGACCUCGUCAUCAAACAGUUCGUGGACAUGGCUUGAAGGACCACCACAUCUUGCGUCUCUAGUCAUACAGUGGAAAAAGCACGAGCCCAACAACGCGCUGGGUCAGGAAGACUGUGUGAUGAUGGACUCCAACGGCCUUCUGAGUGAUGUAUCUUGUGACUCCUCUCAUCACUAUAUAUGUUCAAGGUCCGCAGACGAAAUCAAAGAUUGUGGCGGUGGAUGGACCUUGAUCCACCAAGCUUGCUACAGAAUUUCCGCAAAGACCGCGGCGUGGCUCGACGCCCACAACGAAUGUCAGGCAGACGGAGGAAGCCUGCUUACUGUGAAAACUCUUUACGAACUAGGGAAAAUACUACUGGAAGCAAAAGGGUGAGCAGUCGGUGGUUGGUAGGGAGGAUUUCUACAGUCAGAAGCACUUGGGAGUGGGUUGAUUCAACGACAGUCUUCUCAAGCCUAGCUAUACCGUGGGAGGAAAACGAGCUCAGUCCUGACAGUGACAGAGACUGUGCAGAGAUGGACUACAGCGGUCUACUGAAUGAUGCUCCAUGUCACUCUUUGCUCCCCUACAUCUGCGAGAAACCGUUAA